GUUUUGCACAGUUCCGUCUCAGCCGACAGUUUCUUCUGCUCUCAAAACGUAUUGGAGGAGGUGCAGCGUCCACAUCCCAAGAUGUUCUUGUCAUCACUAAGGAUGGACUCUCAGAGGCUCCAAGAGAGGCGUAUAUGGAAGAGGAGCCUACUGGAUCCAAAAUUCCACCUACCUCCAAUCCAAUUGGUCCAGCUAAAUGACCAACCACACUCUCUGAUCCAGUAAGAAUGGAUUUGGUGCAGAGAGGUCCUUUUCAGACUGAGAAAGACUCUGACUUUCCAAAAUCCCCUCAUUGAGCUGUUGUGUUCUUUAUGUUGGAUUGUUUUAUCGUUAUUUGAUUUUCUGUUAAGUUGCUGUUUUUAAAAGUUGGAGUUUUGGGAAUGUAAUUUGUUGAGUGCCUAAUGUUACAUUAAAAAAUAUAUAUUUAUAUAUCUA
Long non-coding RNA from Oryzias latipes (Japanese medaka), 435 nucleotides. RefSeq lists it as uncharacterized. Lineage: Eukaryota; Metazoa; Chordata; Actinopteri; Beloniformes; Adrianichthyidae. The record is from RefSeq and is a predicted model, not a curated record.